Molecule: ribosomal RNA, 465 nt
Filed under: uncultured bacterium
Lineage: Bacteria
Description: partial 16S ribosomal RNA
Rfam family: Bacterial small subunit ribosomal RNA
Source: RNAcentral
CCUACGAGUGGCAGCAGUGGGGAAUAUUGCGCAAUGGGCGAAAGCCUGACGCAGCGACGCCGCGUGAGGGAUGAAGGUCUUCGGAUCGUAAACCUCUGUCAGCAGGGAAGAACGGUCACUGUGCUAAUCAGCAGUGAAUUGCUGGUCCCUGCAACGGAAGCACCCGCAAACUCCGUGCCAGCAGCCGCGGUUAUACGGAGGGUGAGAGCGUUAAUCGGAAUUGUUGGGCGUAAGGCGCUCGUAGGCGGUAGGUCAAGUCAAGGGUGAAAUCCCCGCGCUCAACGUGGGAACUGCCUUUGAAACUGGCAAGCUGGAGUGUGGGAGAGGAUAGUGGAAUUCCAGGUGUAGGAGUGAAAUCCGUAGAUAUCUGGAGGAACAUCAGUGGCGAAGGCGACUAUCUGGCACAUAACUGACGCUGAGGAGCGAAAGCGUGGGUAGCAAACAGGAUUAGAUACCCUGGUAGUC